GGGAAAAAGUUCAUUCCGAGAUGUAUUAACGACACAUAUAGCCAUUCAAUCAAUCAAAUUUUAUAAUUUAUGUGUCAGUCCACAUAGUCGAAAUUUAUAAAUGCUCACACAUAGUUUUAAUAAUUAAGAAUGAACAUGUUGCGCGCAUGAACUUUGUUGUUAUUGCGCCAUUUUUCUGCAAAAUCAAAAGGAAGCUACGUUUUGGAGAAGUGCAGCCUUAUUUUGCAUGUUCCGUACUAGGUUCCGUAGCAACGCGUAGCAGGCAUCCCAAGUGGGCAACAGAGAAUUGCAACAUUUUCGCCGCUCAUCCCAUCAGGAAAAGUGCCAGGAGAUGCGAUUCUGUAUGGGAAGCAAUUUUCUGGUUCCACGUCAGAAUACACGAGGCAGGGUUCCUGAUUUCCACUUUUCAUCUUCUUCCACAUUCGAAUACAGUCAGCAGCGAACGGUUGUCGCUUUAGUUUGUGUGUUUGCUUGUCUGCGACGACAGCAAACACCGGCGAACGGUGGGAAGCCAUACAUGGAGUUUGAACAUUCGUCCACAUUCGCAUCGCAAGCGAUGGAGAGGUGAUGCGAUUCGUGAAUGAAUUGCGCGUACGAAUAUUUGAAGUUUUCAAAAAAUGUUUAUUAUUUUCUUUGCUAAUCUAGCAUUUCAACAACAAUACACUAAAAACGUAUGCAUUACAUGCAGAAAUUCUCUUCUAGUUAUGAUAAUAGCCGCUUCGAUCGCUCACCAGCAUUCGUCACCAUUCGCCAUUCAUUCAUUCGCUUGCGAUCCAAACUGCGACGAUCGGCCACGAAUAUCCAUGUCAACCAGCUUGCGCAUCGCUUCCCACUGGUGAUGGGGUUGCGUGUUUGAUCACGACUAUCCGUUUGCUGUAUCUUUCUCGAUUCGCUUCGGCAAAGAGGAGUGAAUAUGAAUGGAGUGAGGCGAAUUUACCGAUCCUUGACACGAGGAAAAGGAUGAUCGGCAGCGCUAUAAAUGAAGUCGGCAACAUCUGGGUCGUUUUAUGGGCUCCGCAUCUUCCGCCGGGGUGCACUCCGAGUGUGCUAGCGAAACAUCAACAUGGGAUCACAGCCAAGGUCACAGCUAAGCAGUUUUUUUUGGUAAUUGAACAUGUUAUUGUGAACGUGUUGUGUAUUAUGUGGGGCAUGAAGUAUUAAUAAAAAUUAUGAUGUUUAAAAUCAAAAUUGUGCAUUUGUUUACGUUAUUAAGGAUUGAAAAUGUAUAAUAGAAGCAAAAUCAUUAUUCAAUUCGACAAAUAAAUGGCAUAAGUAUUUAAAUAUUAAAAGUAAUGAUUAUAGAAAAUAAACAUAAUAACAUCCACACAUACUUUCGAUAAGCGUCUGGUUCAUCUGGAGGUAUGUGUACGACACAUAUCAAAUAU
Long non-coding RNA from Aedes albopictus (Asian tiger mosquito), 1385 nucleotides. RefSeq lists it as uncharacterized. The transcript has 3 exons. The record is from RefSeq and is a predicted model, not a curated record. Lineage: Eukaryota; Metazoa; Arthropoda; Insecta; Diptera; Culicidae.